AGUGUAUGUGGUGGAUGCCUUGGCGAUUACAGGCGAAGAAGGACGUCGCAGCCUGCGAAAAGCCGUGGGGAGCUGGCAAGCGAGCACUGAUCCACGGAUGUCCGAAUGAGGGAACUCACCCGCAAGGGUAUCUUGAAGUGAAUACAUAGCUUCAAGAGGCGAACGCAGCGAACUGAAACAUCUAAGUAGCUGCAGGAAAAGAAAUCAACCGAGAUUCUGAAAGUAGCGGCGAGCGAAAUUGGAAGAGCCUGCAAGUGAUAUUGAAUUCGAUACUGGAACGGUCUGGAAAGUCCGGCUACAGAGGGUGACAGCCCCGUACGGGAAAUUGGGUUCAAGGUACUGAGCUUGCGAAAAGUAGAGCGGGACACGUGAAAUCCUGCUCGAAGAUGGGGGGACCAUCCUCCAAGGCUAAAUACUCGUAAUCGACCGAUAGCGAACCAGUACUGUGAAGGAAAGGCGAAAAGAACCCCGGGAGGGGAGUGAAAUAGAUCCUGAAACCGCAUACAUACAAACAGUAGGAGCCCGCAAGGGUGACUGCGUACCUUUUGCAUAAUGGGUCAGCGACUUACGUUCAAUGGCAAGCUUAACCGAGUAGGGGAGGCGCAGCGAAAGCGAGUCCGAACAGGGCGAUAUGAGUCGUUGGGCGUAGACCCGAAACCAGAUGAUCUAUCCAUGGCCAGGCUGAAGGUGUGGUAACACACACUGGAGGGCCGAACCGACUAGUGUUGCAAAAUUAGCGGAUGAGCUGUGGAUAGGGGUGAAAGGCUAAACAAAUCUGGAGAUAGCUGGUUCUCCCCGAAAACUAUUGAGGUAGUGCCUCGUGUAUGGCUCCAGGGGGUAGAGCACUGUUAUGGCUAGGGGGACAUGGCGUCUUACCAAACCAUGGCAAACUCCGAAUACUUGGAAGUCUGAGCACGGGAGACAGAGCACCGGGUGCUAACGUCCGGACUCAAAAGGGAAACAACCCAGACCGCCGGCUAAGGUCCCUAAUAUUGACUAAGUGGAAAACGAAGUGGGAAGGCUAAGACAGUCAGGAAGUUGGCUUAGAAGCAGCCAUCCUUCAAAGAAAGCGUAAUAGCUCACUGAUCGAGUCUUCCUGCGCGGAAGAUGUAACGGGGCUAAGUCAAUAACCGAAGCCGCGGAUUCGCAGCAAUGCGAGUGGUAGGGGAGCGUUCUGUAAGCCUGCGAAGGCGGAUCUGCGAGGACCGCUGGAGGUAUCAGAAGUGCGAAUGCUGACAUGAGUAACGUUAAAGCGGGUGAAAAGCCCGCUCGCCGCAAGCCCAAGGUUUCCUGCUCUACGUUCAUCGGAGCAGGGUGAGUCGGCCCCUAAGGUCAGGCUGAGAAGCGUAGCUGAUGGGAAGCUGGUUAAUAUUCCAGCACCGAUUUCAAGUGCGAAGGGGGGACGGAGUCCUGAAGGUCAUCCGGGUGUUGGACAUCCCGGUUUACGAGCGUAGGAGGUUGACAGGCAAAUCCGUCAACGAAUCUCCAAGGCGAAGGAUCGAGGUUGAGAGAUCAACUGAAGUGACUGAAUGGGCUUCCAGGAAAAGCCUCUAAGCAUCAGCUUGGAAUUGACCGUACCGCAAACCGACACUGGUGGGCGAGCUGAAUAUGCUCAGGCGCUUGAGAGAACUCAGGAGAAGGAACUCGGCAAAUUGACACCGUAACUUCGGGAUAAGGUGUGCCUUUGUAGUGUGAAGAGAGAAACACUCCGAGCAUGAAGAGGCCUCAGAGAAUCGGUGGCUGCAACUGUUUACUAAAAACACAGCACUCUGCAAAGAUGAAAGUCGACGUAUAGGGUGUGAUGCCUGCCCGGUGCUGGAAGAUUAAUUGAUGGGGUGCAAGCUCCUGAUCGAAGUCCCAGUAAACGGCGGCCGUAACUAUAACGGUCCUAAGGUAGCGAAAUUCCUUGUCGGGCAAGUUCCGACCUGCACGAAUGGCAUAAUGAUGGCCACACUGUCUCCUCCUGAGACUCAGUGAAGUUGAAAUGUUUGUGAUGAUGCAAUCUCCCCGCGGCUAGACGGAAAGACCCCAUGAACCUUU
RNAcentral lists this ribosomal RNA (2040 nucleotides) under human gut metagenome. RNAcentral describes it as "bacterial LSU rRNA". It matches the Rfam family "Bacterial large subunit ribosomal RNA", at positions 14 to 2102 of the family's 2925-position model. The record is from RNAcentral.